GUCCUUGCCGUAAACGAUGCACACUUGGUGUAACUGGAUUCAACCCUAGUUGUGCCGUAGCUAACGCGAUAAGUGUGCCGCCUGGGGAGUACGCUCGCAAGGGUGAAACUCAAAAGAAUUGACGGGGACCCCGCACAAGCAGUGGAGCAUGUGGUUUAAUUCGAUGCAACGCGAAGAACCUUACCUAGGCUUGACAUGCAGAAGACGUUACUAGAAAUAGUAAUUCUCUUCGGAGCUUCUGCACAGGUGCUGCAUGGCUGUCGU
RNAcentral lists this ribosomal RNA (264 nucleotides) under uncultured bacterium. Its description in RNAcentral is "partial 16S ribosomal RNA". It matches the Rfam family "Bacterial small subunit ribosomal RNA", at positions 793 to 1055 of the family's 1533-position model. The record is from RNAcentral.